This 977-nucleotide long non-coding RNA is filed under the name Olea europaea subsp. europaea. The record is from RNAcentral. Lineage: Eukaryota; Viridiplantae; Streptophyta; Magnoliopsida; Lamiales; Oleaceae.
CGAAGCCUCCAGCAAUAUCUUCACUGCCUAUCAAGUCAAGCACCAAAACAAUGGAGUUAUCAGUUACCAUGGGCAGAAUUCUGGUAUAAUACCACAUUCCACCGUGCAAUUGGGUUCACCCCUUUUCAGGCUUUGUAUGGAAGACCUCCGCCUGUAAUCACUCGUUAUUUGCCGGUUGUGCAGGAAGUGGAUAAAGCGCUAUGUGACCGGGAUGAAUUGCUGCAACGCCUAAAGCAAAAUUUGGAAAAGGCCAGGAACCGAAUGAAGCAACAAGCAGAUGCCCACCGCCGUGAUGAGUCCUUUGAGGUGAAUGAUUGGGUUUUUCUGAAAUUACAACCAUUCAGAUAGCAAUCAGUGUUCAAACGAGCUCAUCAAAAGCUUGCUAAUAAAUACUUUGGACCUUAUAGGGUGAUGGAAAAAUAGGGGCUGUAGCUUACAAAUUGGAGCUGCCAGAACAUUCGAAAGUACACCCAGUAUUCCACAUAUCCUGUCUUAAACGACGAAUCGGAACUGGAGAAGUUUCACAGUGCACGGCACCUCCCGUUUCUGAAGAUGGUUGUCUUGAGCUUGAACCAAUUGCUGCCAAGGAUUUUCGCUGGGUAAAGCAGGGUAACAGAAUUGUAGGGGAAGCGUUGGUACAAUGGAAGCAUAUGCCUGAUGAAAAAGCCACCUGGGAAUCAACCGAACGCGUGCAGAACCAAUUCCCAAAUUUCCACCUUGAGGACAAGGUUGAAGUUCCAGGGGCGGCGAAUGGUGAGCCUCGAAGAAUAAGGAAGCCCAAUCCCAAGUAUUUGUCCAUGUUAGCCGCAGAACCAGGAGGACCAAUUCAAAAGCUGCUGGAAACAUCUGAUCUGUUUUGAUCUAUUCCUUAUCUUCAGGUCCAAGUAAAGGAGAACGUGGCUUGAGUUUAGGUAGAAUUGUUGAGUUUGUUUAGGAAUCUAAGCUAUAAAUAAGUGUCCUUGGACAGUAGAGUAGGC